Long non-coding RNA from Electrophorus electricus (electric eel), 757 nucleotides. The record is from Ensembl. NCBI's taxonomy places the organism in Eukaryota, Metazoa, Chordata, Actinopteri, Gymnotiformes, Gymnotidae.
UUCCGCUGCUCUCGUUUCACCCUGCCGACUUUUACGAUGCGCUGUCUGCGGAACUCGCUCUGAACACGGCGUCAAAUUCUGAAAUGUGGUUUGCCAAGAAGCCCAUCCGUUGACGAAACCUAACGUAUCGACGACGAGUUCAAACUACGACUUUUUCUCCAGGUAAGAGUUUGGAAGUUUAGUUGGACGCUUGUAACUAAAGCUUGAAAUGGUGGCGCGCCUUCUCCAGGCGCCGUGACGCCCGGACAAGCGAACAUGGAAUAUCUGAUUAAGGUGCAAUACAGGGGACCACCAACAUAAAGGACAACUAGGUUGAGACUUGCUUUUGAGUAGACAGACUGUGGGGAGCGCGGGGGGUUCUGUUUCGGCUCCCUCCUAAAACGAACAACAGCAAGAAAAACACUUUCUGCAGUGAUCAGGAAGUAAGAACUUUGAGCCGCGGUAGGCCGGGUACACUUCAUUUCGUGCAUAGCAUGUUGGGUUAAAUACAGCUGAAUAAAGAACAAGGAUAUUUACUGAAUCAUUUGUUUUAUGCUUCUAGGUGUUUUGCGGAAAAUCGUGAGUUGAACCGUGAAGCCUCGUUUACUUAAAAGAGAUCAGUGAUAUCUCUCGUCAUCAUGGUUACUGCAUCUCCUUUUAACUUUACAGAGGUCGCACCAACACCCAUGACUCCAGCCCAGCCUAGCGCCGCUGUCAUAGGAGGUAAGUUCUUUCUCAGAAAAAAAGGUUUUAUUUUGCUAUACUGUAGUUUUUUUGU